Molecule: small nuclear RNA, 101 nt
Organism: Piliocolobus tephrosceles (Ugandan red Colobus)
Lineage: Eukaryota; Metazoa; Chordata; Mammalia; Primates; Cercopithecidae
Source: Ensembl
CUGCUUUGGCAGCAUAUAUAUUAAAUUUGAAUGAUACAGAGAAGAUUAGCAUAGCGCAUUGCAAGGAUGACACACAAAUUCAUAAAGCAUUCCUUAAAAAA